This is a long non-coding RNA of Numida meleagris (helmeted guineafowl), 2850 nucleotides long. RefSeq lists it as uncharacterized. The transcript is spliced from 4 exons. Lineage: Eukaryota; Metazoa; Chordata; Aves; Galliformes; Numididae. The record is from RefSeq and is a predicted model, not a curated record.
CCUGUGAAAUAUUACUCAUCUUGUGAACUCCGUGCAUGCAUAUGUGCCAGGGCAAUAUUAUGUGCUGAUGUCCUAGUGGCAGCAGUGAUAUAGAGAAGAAAGGUGGUGGUUGUGCCAUCUUCUCUCCAAGAGGAAUAAAGGGCAGGAGGUCUGUCUUUUCAUCCCUCAUUCCUGACCUAAAACUGAACGUAUCAGCCCUGGUUCUAAGCUAAUACAAUUAUCAGAAUAACUGAAAAUAAAAGAAAAAGUGCAGGUAGUAGAAUGAAGGAGGCUGAAAUCUGAAUUAUGGGGACAGUAUACCCUGCUGCUGCACGUGUGUAAAGAAUGUUGUGAGAGGGAUUCUGCUUCCUGUUAAAUUGUAUAAAAGUCCAGAUUAUUUUAUUAUUCUCAUUACUAACCAUCACUUAAAAAAGGAACUUCGCAUCACAAAAAGUUUUGUGUUGGUUAUUCUUUUUCCAAAUUUACUUUCAAGACAGGAGACAUGUUACAUAGGAGAGAAUUAAGUCAUUUCGAGAUUGACUUCCCUUUUAAAAGGAGAUGACCCCCAGAAGGAGGAAUACAGCCAACGUGCUCCAUCCCAUCCAUUUAAGAGUGGUGAUCUCAGGUGUUAUCACCCCAGCUGCCAGAGCACUUGUCUGCUGCAGAGAUGGCACAAAUCAUCUGCAUUGCUCAUUGACCAACAUAAAUCGCCAUCAUCGCUAUACGAGGCGUAGCAGUGGAUUGGCAAGGUGACAUAACAACUAUUUGCAAGUCUACAUGCUGUCUGAUGUUACUAAGGUAACUAAAUUGCACAGCAAUCUGCUCGGAAGUCCCUAAGAAGAUAAAGUGGUCAGUGCUGCUCUGCUUUGAAGACAUCAGGUACCAACCCUUUCCUGCAUCAUGUGGAAUCUAAUGAGAAGCAGACAUCAUUUGGUCACAACACUACAGAUAGCUUGCAGAAAAACAGUAAUACAAGUUAUUUCUUCCCCUCCAUCCAGCCCUGCUUUUUACAGAAUAUUGCUGACCGGCUGAAAUGUUACCCAAGCAACAUCCACUCUUCAGUUUACUUCUCUCAGCAGCUUCAGUUGAAGAAGGAACAAGACCCAGGAAAGUGUUUGGAAAUCUCUCUUGCAUCCUCCCAGUCUGAGGCCAACCAGAGGCAGAGCAGCUCCUGUUUACAUAGGAUUUGAGCACCAUUGUCACUGGAAGAAAAAAUAUUCCAGUGUGAGAGGGAUCCUCAGAUGGCAAGGCUGUAUCGAGGAGAGGGCUUUGAAUAAGCCCGGUGCAACUGAGAAAAGAUGUUGGAUGAAACGAACUGGAACUUCUUCUCUAACGUGGAUUUUAUGCUUGGUGCCAUGCAGACAGCAGUGGGGGGAGGGUGAUUUCAGUCUCUGCUACACCAACAAAAACAAACGUGUUGUUUAAACUUGGCAUUGACACAAAUAAAAUAAAAACUGAGCUGUUGUUUGGAGUCUUCGUGUAUUUGAUGGGGAUUCAAGGGGGUAAGGAAGAUGCUGCCAGCAGGGGCAGGCAUCAAAACCAACCGAACCCGCUGCAGUAUCAGUGCUUGAAGGAGCAAAUAGACGGCAGGAAGGCAAGGGCUUACCCCACGCCCCAUGAGGUGCUGAAUGGUGCUGAGGCACUUUAAGGCCUGCAGUGCCCCACCCCAAACUGUUAAUGAGCUCAUUAAUACCCGUUGCCACUCUCUCCCUCGCACCCAGCUCAGGGCAAUGGCCUUCAAAGAGAGGAGAACAGCUCGCUGUGAAGAGCUGCGUUCUUGGAGGGGAGUUUGCCCAGGAUGCCAGGAUGCUAUAUGAAAACCUUGUCCUCCAUUUGUACUUCCUCACCCUAUGGUGCUGCUCUGCAUCAGUUGCUGCAGAUGAAGAAAUGGUGCCUUUCAGAAGACACUCACUAAGUAUAGCAAAACCAUUUUAAAAAGGGAUUGUUCUGCGUGAAGUACCGCAUCAACAGAUAGCAGUAUGGAAAUGGAAGAAAAUUAAUAACCAUUCAUACCUGUAUUGGCAAACUAUGAUCAUAUAUCUGUGGGGAAACUUUCAAUUUCAGCGUUUAACAGUUCAGGUGAAGUAGCAGCAAUUUUUAAGCAUUGACACAAGACAACAAGUCCAAAAAUCUGUUUGGACUCUUUGAAGGAGGAUAUUAAGAAGACCCUAAGGUGGCAAAUGUUUUAACACAGAUCCCUCACGGAGGCUCAAGGGCAGAAAGAAUAGGUAAUUUAUCAUAUCCUUUGCAUAGAAACAAUUUCACUUCCUGCAUACAACUGAGGAAGUGCAAUAUGAAAGAAGAAAUUGAAAACAUGGCAGUUAUAUAACAGUACCGUGUUUUCUUGGGGUAAAAUGUAUACAUCAUCCUAAGCCCUUCAGUGGAUGAAUUGAACACACAUUGCCAAACACAAGAAGAAAAGACAUUAAAGCGAUGAGGAGACCAUGUUAAACGUCAGGAAAAGAACUCAUAAUACUCUACGUAGAAGAAGAGAAGCGCUAUUACUGGUUCAAAAAUAAAAAGUGUUACUAUUAAUGGGGUAGACUUCACAGCCUUUAUGAAUACCAAAUAAUAGAAAUUAAUUAGAACCGUUAAGGCAUAAGUUCCACUGUAGGUGUAUCGCUGUUUGGUGUAACUGGUAAGUUGUUGCUCCUUUAAGCCACGCAAUGUGACUGUCUGUUUGUAAGAGUGCUUCAUGUCAGUUCUUACAUCCCCGGUCCAUUUUAAUGCUUGUCCCGGUUGAUUUAACAUAUGGCAGCAUAACGCAAUGGAAAGCCCAACCUUGACGGCAGAGCAGCAAGAUCCCAAGCCACAGCAAGCGAGGAUUCACUCAAACACAACAGCAGCAGGCACAGAAAUAAAGAAAAGAAU